GGGCAUGCGGCAGCNUACCAUGCAAGUCGAACGGUAGCACGGACAGCUUGCUCUCGGGUGACGAGUGGCGGACGGGUGAUGAAUGUCAGGGAGACUGCCUGAUGGAGGGGGAUAACUACUGGAAACGGUAACUAAUACCGCACACUGUCGCAGGACCAAAGAGGGGGACCUUCCGUCCUCUUGCCAUCAGAUGUGCCCAGAAGGGAUUAGCUAGUAGGUGGGGUAACGGCUCACCUAAGCAACCAUCCCUAGCUGGUCUGAAAGGAUGACCACCCUCACUGGAACUGACACACGGUACACACUCCUACGGGAGGCAUGAGUGGGGAAUAUUGCAGAAUGAGCGCAUGCCUGAUGCAUCCAUGCCGCGUGUAUGAAGAAUGCCUUCUGGUUGUAAAGUAC
RNAcentral lists this ribosomal RNA (399 nucleotides) under Enterobacter sp. PD-P39. RNAcentral's name for it is "bacterial SSU rRNA". It matches the Rfam family "Bacterial small subunit ribosomal RNA", at positions 35 to 433 of the family's 1533-position model. Lineage: Bacteria; Pseudomonadati; Pseudomonadota; Gammaproteobacteria; Enterobacterales; Enterobacteriaceae. The record is from RNAcentral.